CCUACGGGCGGCAGCAGUGAGGAAUAUUGGUCAAUGGACGAGAGUCUGAACCAGCCAAGUAGCGUGAAGGAUGACUGCCCUAUGGGUUGUAAACUUCUUUUAUAUGGGAAUAAAAUGUUCCACGUGUGGGAUUUUGUAUGUACCAUAUGAAUAAGGAUCGGCUAACUCCGUGCCAGCAGCCGCGGUAAUACGGAGGAUCCGAGCGUUAUCCGGAUUUAUUGGGUUUAAAGGGAGCGUAGGUGGAUUGUUAAGUCAGUUGUGAAAGUUUGCGGCUCAACCGUAAAAUUGCAGUUGAAACUGGCAGUCUUGAGUACAGUAGAGGUGGGCGGAAUUCGUGGGGUAGCGGUGAAAUGCUUAGAUAUCACGAAGAACUCCGAUUGCGAAGGCAGUUCACUGGACUGCAACUGACACUGAGGCUCGAAAGUGUGGGUAUCAAACAGGAUUAGAUACCCCAGUAGUC
RNAcentral lists this ribosomal RNA (460 nucleotides) under uncultured bacterium. RNAcentral's name for it is "partial 16S ribosomal RNA". It matches the Rfam family "Bacterial small subunit ribosomal RNA", at positions 338 to 795 of the family's 1533-position model. The record is from RNAcentral.